AUGCUGCUGCUGCUGACGUCCAUGGAGAUGCUGUUGAUGCGGAUCGAGAAAGCAAAGAAAUUAGGGGGAGGAUGUGAGAGAGAAGGAAGGAGAGGAGAGGUCAGGGAGAGCCCCGGUGUUCUACCCCUACUAGGGCAUCUUUGCUCCAGGGAGAAAGGAGGGGACCAGCGGCACAGGGAGGAGAGGAGGCCGUCGAGGCAAGUGGGGAGGGGGCAGCGGCGUGGGAGAGGAUGGAGCGGGGAGGACAUGAGGCGAAGGGGGAGCGGGGCUCGGGAGCACAUGCCGGCGGCCGGCAGGUCGAAUCGUCGCGCCACCGCGUAG
Molecule: ribosomal RNA, 321 nt
Filed under: Triticum aestivum (bread wheat)
Lineage: Eukaryota; Viridiplantae; Streptophyta; Magnoliopsida; Poales; Poaceae
Description: partial small subunit ribosomal RNA
Source: RNAcentral